CAGGCCUAACACAUGCAAGUCGAACGGACUUCUUCGGAAGUCAGUGGCGGACGGGUGAGUAACGCGUAAGAAUCUAGCUUCAGGACGGGGACAACAGUUGGAAACGACUGCUAAGACCCGAUGUGCCGAAAGGUGAAAGUAUAUUUAGCCUGAAGAAGAGCUUGCGUCUGAUUAGCUAGUUGGUGGGGUAAGAGCGUACCAAGGCGACGAUCAGUAGCUGGUCUGAGAGGAUGAGCAGCCACACUGGGACUGAGACACGGACCAGACUCCUACGGGAGGCAGCAGUGGGGAAUUUUCCGCAAUGGGCGAAAGCCUGACGGAGCAACGCCGCGGGAGGGAGGAAGGCUCUUGGGUUGUAAACCUCUUUUGAUAGGGAAGAAGAACUGACGGUACCUAACGAAUCAGCGUCGGCUAACUCCGUGCCAGCAGCCGCGGUAAUACGGAGGAUGCAAGCGUUAUCCGGGAAUUAUUGGGCGUAAAG
This 481-nucleotide ribosomal RNA is filed under the name uncultured bacterium. RNAcentral describes it as "bacterial SSU rRNA". It matches the Rfam family "Bacterial small subunit ribosomal RNA", at positions 43 to 565 of the family's 1533-position model. The record is from RNAcentral.